GUGGGGAAUUUUGGACAAUGGGCGCAAGCCUGAUCCAGCCAUGCCGCGUGCAGGAAGACGCAUCUAUGGUGUGUAAACUGCUUUUGUACGGGAAGAAACACUCCCUCGUGAGGGAGCUUGACGGUACCGUAAGAAUAAGGAUCGGCUAACUCCGUGCCAGCAGCCGCGGUAAUACGGAGGAUCCAAGCGUUAUCCGGAAUCAUUGGGUUUAAGGGGUCCGUAGGCGGUUUAAUAAGACAGUGGUGAAAGCCCAUCGCUCAACGAUGGAACGGCCAUUGAUACUGUUAGACUUGAAUUACAAGGAAGUAACUAGGAUAUGUAGUGUAGCGGUGAAAUGCUUAGAUAUUACAUGGAAUACCAAUUGCGAAGGCAGGUUACUACUUGUGGAUUGACGCUGAUGGACGAAAGCGUGGGGAGCGAACAGGAUUAGAUACCCGAGUAGUCC
This 445-nucleotide ribosomal RNA is filed under the name uncultured bacterium. RNAcentral describes it as "partial 16S ribosomal RNA". It matches the Rfam family "Bacterial small subunit ribosomal RNA", at positions 354 to 796 of the family's 1533-position model. The record is from RNAcentral.